RNAcentral lists this ribosomal RNA (517 nucleotides) under uncultured bacterium. RNAcentral describes it as "bacterial SSU rRNA". It matches the Rfam family "Bacterial small subunit ribosomal RNA", at positions 1 to 523 of the family's 1533-position model. The record is from RNAcentral.
UAGAGUUUGAUCAUGGCUCAGAGCGAACGCUGGCGGCGUGCUUAACACAUGCAAGUCGAGUGCGCGUCUGUAGCAAUACAGAUGGCGCACGGCGCACGGGUGCGUAACACGUGGGUAAUCUGCCCUUCGAAGGGGAAUAACUCGCCGAAAGGCGAGCUAAUUCCGCAUAACAUUCCGAGAACCUUGGUUUUUGGAUUCAAAGGCGUAAGUCGUCGGAGGAGGAGCCCGCGCACGAUUAGCUAGUUGGUAGGGUAAUGGCCUACCAAGGCUAUGAUCGUUAGCUGGUCUGGGAGGAUGGCCAGCCACAUCGGGACUGAGAGACGGCCCAGACUCCUACGGGUGGCAGCAGUGGGGAAUCUUGCGCAAUGGCCGAAAGGCUGACGCAGCGACGCCGCGUGGGGGAUGAAGCAUUUCGGUGUGUAAACCCCUGUUGCCCGGGACGAAUCCUGGUUUUCGAGCCAGUUGACGGUACCGGGUGAGGAAGCACCGGCUAACUCCGUGCCAGCAGCCGCGGUAA